GUACUCUCAAGCUUUGCUUGGUGUUGGGUGCUGUCUAGCAAUUAGACUCGCCUCAAAAGAAUUGGCAGCCAGUGUAUUGGUCUUGAGCGCAGCACAAUUUGCACUUGAGCCAGCUAUUACUGGCGUCCAGAAGCCUUUUUUAAUC
RNAcentral lists this unclassified non-coding RNA (145 nucleotides) under uncultured Pleosporales. Its description in RNAcentral is "sequence contains ITS2". Lineage: Eukaryota; Fungi; Ascomycota; Dothideomycetes; Pleosporales. The record is from RNAcentral.